RNAcentral lists this ribosomal RNA (253 nucleotides) under uncultured bacterium. RNAcentral describes it as "partial 16S ribosomal RNA". It matches the Rfam family "Bacterial small subunit ribosomal RNA", at positions 524 to 776 of the family's 1533-position model. The record is from RNAcentral.
UACGUAGGAGGCAAGCGUUGUCCGGAAUUACUGGGCGUAAAGCGCGUCUAGGUGGUGGGACAAGUCUGCUGUGAAAGCGCCUGGCUUAACCGGGCGAGGUCGGCGGAAACUGUCCGACUCGAGGACGGUAGAGGGGGGUGGAAUUCCCGGUGUAGUGGUGAAAUGCGUAGAGAUCGGGAGGAACACCUGUGGCGAAGGCGGCCCCCUGGGCCGGCCCUGACACUGAGACGCGAAGGCGUGGGGAGCGAACGGG